CAGUAUGGCAAAUUCUAUUUGGGUGCCGCCGUUCUGUGACCUUUUAGUAAUAGAUUCACCUUUAAGUAAGAAUAUCAACCAACAAAUAGCUUGUUUCCUACAUAUUGUCCAAAAUUUCAGAAUGCUCCCAUUCCAAAGAUUGCGAGUCAUAUAGGAAGUGCUUAGGUCCUAAAUACACAGUAUGGUGAAAGUAAUAUAAACUAUCGAUGUGUAUUUCAUAUAUAACAUCUCAUAGGGCACCCAAUAAAAUUCCUUGGCAGCUAAAUAGAUGAUAUACUGGAAGACUUGGAUGCUAAUGAUGCGUCAUGGUCAUGGGACGAUGUCUGCAGUUCAAGACGAAUUUUCAGCAGACAAUUUGGCAAGCUGUCAACGCCACUCACAGUUGAAGGGGGCGUGGCAGGUUGGAGGUUUUAAGAGGGUAAGAGAAUCGACAACUCGGAGCUAAUGAUUGUCUGCGGAAGGACAUCAAUCAAUCCGAAGUUAAAGCAAAACCACCCUCA
Drosophila suzukii is the source of this 500-nucleotide non-coding RNA. The record is from RefSeq and is a predicted model, not a curated record. Lineage: Eukaryota; Metazoa; Arthropoda; Insecta; Diptera; Drosophilidae.